Molecule: ribosomal RNA, 422 nt
Filed under: uncultured bacterium
Lineage: Bacteria
Description: bacterial SSU rRNA
Rfam family: Bacterial small subunit ribosomal RNA
Source: RNAcentral
UGAGGAAUAUUGGGCAAUGCCCGCAAGGGUGACCCAGCAACGCCGCGUGGAGGAUGAAUGUCGUAAGAUUGUAAACUCCUGUUAGAGGGGAAGAAUAGUACCGGUUGGACCGGUAUAUGACUGUACCCUCAGAGAAAGCCCCGGCUAACUACGUGCCAGCAGCCGCGGUAAUACGUAGGGGGCAAGCGUUGUCCGGAUUUACUGGGUGUACAGGGCGAGCAGGCGGGAUAAAAAGUCAGUGGUGAAAUCCUACAGCUUAACUGUAGAACUGCCUUUGAUACUUUUAUUCUUGAGUUCGGGAGAGAGAGACGGAAUUCCAUGUGUAGUGGUGAAAUACGUAGAUAUCUGGAAGAACACCAGUUGCGAAGGCGGUCUCUUGGUCCGACACUGACGCUGAGGCGCGAAAGCGUGGGGAGCAAACA